RNAcentral lists this ribosomal RNA (496 nucleotides) under uncultured bacterium. Its description in RNAcentral is "partial 16S ribosomal RNA". It matches the Rfam family "Bacterial small subunit ribosomal RNA", at positions 28 to 507 of the family's 1533-position model. The record is from RNAcentral.
GAUGAACGCUGGCGGCGUGCCUAAUACAUGCAAGUCGAGCGAACGGACGAGAAGCUUGCUUCUCUGAUGUUAGCGGCGGACGGGUGAGUAACACGUGGAUAACCUACCUAUAAGACUGGGAUAACUUCGGGAAACCGGAGCUAAUACCGGAUGAUAUUUUGAACCGCAUGGUUCAAAAGUGAAAGACGGUCUUGCUGUCACUUAUAGAUGGAUCCGCGCUGCAUUAGCUAGUUGGUAAGGUAACGGCUUACCAAGGCAACGAUGCAUAGCCGACCUGAGAGGGUGAUCGGCCACACUGGAACUGAGACACGGUCCAGACUCCUACGGGAGGCAGCAGUAGGGAAUCUUCCGCAAUGGGCGAAAGCCUGACGGAGCAACGCCGCGUGAGUGAUGAAGGUCUUCGGAUCGUAAAACUCUGUUAUUAGGGAGAACAUAUGUGUAAGUAACUGUGCACAUCUUGACGGUACCUAAUCAGAAAGCCACGGCUAACUACGUG